GGGGGCGAUUGGAUUCGACCGGGCGAGUUGAAAGGAAUGUGGCGUGCCGAGGUUGUCAGGAGGCCUCGUAAAACACCUGGCGAAAACUUUACAUGGCAACACUUAUGCCAUGGCUGCCUAACAACAGGUAGCCCGUCUCGCGGGAGACGCCCACUAUUCCGCGCGGCGCUGCCAGUGGGCUGGUUGCGGCGUGACGCCUGACCGCGUCGCAACGAGACAACAGUCGGGCUAGGGCCGCGAGAGCCUGUCGGUGGGCGCUUGCGGCUUCGAGAUUCAAACGACCGACUACGCACGUAGAGGCAUUCCAAAAGCUGUCGCGGGACGGGGGUUCGAUUCCCCCCGCCUCCAUUG
Molecule: transfer-messenger RNA, 351 nt
Filed under: Phycisphaerales bacterium
Lineage: Bacteria; Pseudomonadati; Planctomycetota; Phycisphaerae; Phycisphaerales
Rfam family: transfer-messenger RNA
About the family: Bacterial tmRNA, also known as 10Sa RNA or SsrA, is named for its dual tRNA and mRNA-like properties. Its role is to liberate the mRNA from a stalled ribosome.
Source: RNAcentral